GACGAACGCUGGCGGCGUGCUUAACACAUGCAAGUCGAACGGAAAGGCCCUGCUUUUGUGGGGUGCUCGAGUGGCGAACGAGUGAGUAACAAGUGAGUAACCUGCCCUUGACUUUGGGAUAACUUCAGGAAACUGGGGCUAAUACCGGAUAGGAGCUCCUGCUGCAUGGUGGGGGUUGGAAAGUUUCGGCGGUUGGGGAUGGACUCGCGGCUUAUCAGCUUGUUGGUGGGGUAGUGGCUUACCAAGGCUUUGACGGGUAGCCGGCCUGAAAGGGUGACCGGCCACAUUGGGACUGAGAUACGGCCCAGACUCCUACGGGAGGCAGCAGUGGGGAAUAUUGCACAAUGGGCGGAAGCCUGAUGCAGCAACGCCGCGUGCGGGAUGACGGCCUUCGGGUUGUAAACCGCUUUCGCCUGUGACGAAGCGUGAGUGACGGUAAUGGGUAAAGAAGCACCGGCUAACUACGUG
Molecule: ribosomal RNA, 468 nt
Filed under: uncultured bacterium
Lineage: Bacteria
Description: partial 16S ribosomal RNA
Rfam family: Bacterial small subunit ribosomal RNA
Source: RNAcentral